AGUGGCUGUGAAGACUUGGAAAUAUUCAAGCUCAACAGACCGAAUCACAUGUCUAUCUCUAUAGAUGAGAUUGAUCUGUAUGUCGAUUAUCCCGCUGAACCGAGCCAUA
This 109-nucleotide small nucleolar RNA is filed under the name Sorghum bicolor (sorghum). RNAcentral's name for it is "snoRNA snoZ107_R87". It matches the Rfam family "Small nucleolar RNA Z107/R87". From Rfam's summary of the family: Z107 and R87 are members of the C/D class of snoRNA which contain the C (UGAUGA) and D (CUGA) box motifs. The record is from Rfam by way of RNAcentral. Lineage: Eukaryota; Viridiplantae; Streptophyta; Magnoliopsida; Poales; Poaceae.